This 1403-nucleotide ribosomal RNA is filed under the name Salmonella enterica. RNAcentral's name for it is "partial 23S ribosomal RNA". It matches the Rfam family "Bacterial large subunit ribosomal RNA", at positions 1549 to 2925 of the family's 2925-position model. Lineage: Bacteria; Pseudomonadati; Pseudomonadota; Gammaproteobacteria; Enterobacterales; Enterobacteriaceae. The record is from RNAcentral.
AUCAAGGCUGAGGCGUGACGACGAGGCACUACGGUGCUGAAGCAACAAAUGCCCUGCUUCCAGGAAAAGCCUCUAAGCAUCAGGUAACAUCAAAUCGUACCCCAAACCGACACAGGUGGUCAGGUAGAGAAUACCAAGGCGCUUGAGAGAACUCGGGUGAAGGAACUAGGCAAAAUGGUGCCGUAACUUCGGGAGAAGGCACGCUGACACGUAGGUGAAGUGAUUUACUCACGGAGCUGAAGUCAGUCGAAGAUACCAGCUGGCUGCAACUGUUUAUUAAAAACACAGCACUGUGCAAACACGAAAGUGGACGUAUACGGUGUGACGCCUGCCCGGUGCCGGAAGGUUAAUUGAUGGGGUCAGCGCAAGCGAAGCUCCUGAUCGAAGCCCCGGUAAACGGCGGCCGUAACUAUAACGGUCCUAAGGUAGCGAAAUUCCUUGUCGGGUAAGUUCCGACCUGCACGAAUGGCGUAAUGAUGGCCAGGCUGUCUCCACCCGAGACUCAGUGAAAUUGAACUCGCUGUGAAGAUGCAGUGUACCCGCGGCAAGACGGAAAGACCCCGUGAACCUUUACUAUAGCUUGACACUGAACAUUGAGCCUUGAUGUGUAGGAUAGGUGGGAGGCUUUGAAGUGUGGACGCCAGUCUGCAUGGAGCCGGCCUUGAAAUACCACCCUUUAAUGUUUGAUGUUCUAACGUGGACCCGUGAUCCGGGUUGCGGACAGUGUCUGGUGGGUAGUUUGACUGGGGCGGUCUCCUCCUAAAGAGUAACGGAGGAGCACGAAGGUUGGCUAAUCCUGGUCGGACAUCAGGAGGUUAGUGCAAUGGCAUAAGCCAGCUUGACUGCGAGCGUGACGGCGCGAGCAGGUGCGAAAGCAGGUCAUAGUGAUCCGGUGGUUCUGAAUGGAAGGGCCAUCGCUCAACGGAUAAAAGGUACUCCGGGGAUAACAGGCUGAUACCGCCCAAGAGUUCAUAUCGACGGCGGUGUUUGGCACCUCGAUGUCGGCUCAUCACAUCCUGGGGCUGAAGUAGGUCCCAAGGGUAUGGCUGUUCGCCAUUUAAAGUGGUACGCGAGCUGGGUUUAGAACGUCGUGAGACAGUUCGGUCCCUAUCUGCCGUGGGCGCUGGAGAACUGAGGGGGGCUGCUCCUAGUACGAGAGGACCGGAGUGGACGCAUCACUGGUGUUCGGGUUGUCAUGCCAAUGGCACUGCCCGGUAGCUAAAUGCGGAAGAGAUAAGUGCUGAAAGCAUCUAAGCACGAAACUUGCCCCGAGAUGAGUUCUCCCUGAGACUUUAGGUCUCCUGAAGGAACGUUGAAGACGACGACGUUGAUAGGCCGGGUGUGUAAGCGCAGCGAUGCGUUGAGCUAACCGGUACUAAUGAACCGUGAGGCUUAACCUUACA